GAUGAUUCUAGUACGUUCUAGGAAGACUGCUGAGGAGAGAUUCAACGGCGGCAGAGAACAUAACCCUGCAAGGCCGCGGCUACAAGAUUCAUCUCCGACGAUGACGGAAGAUGACGCCGAGGAAGACGCCCAGAACAGAUUGUACCCACCGCACCCUCUUGCCCGGCUUCCUUCAGCUCCCAGGAAGAAGCUGAAGCCCUGGAAUUGGCUGUGCCCUGAUGCGGGGUCGGCUAUGACAGCGUCCCGCCGGAUCCUAUUGUUCAAUAUGUUCGCUGCUCCUCAAAGAUUUUUUUCAUUUUUGAAUUUGAUGAACAUGCCAUCUAUGCCUUUAUCCAAACAAUUGAUGUUCAUUUUGAGCCAGAGAGAGAAAAGAAAGAUAUGAUUCUGAGGAAUUCCAAGGAACAGGAGAAAGGGGGGAACAACAGAGAGACUAUGUUGUUUAGCCUCAAUUUGGUAAGUAAAAUAAGAAGGUGAGAAUUUGUACAGUUUAAUUUGAAGUGCCAGUGGUCA
RNAcentral lists this long non-coding RNA (510 nucleotides) under Monodelphis domestica (gray short-tailed opossum). RNAcentral describes it as "lncRNA (ENSMODG00000033575.2)". The record is from RNAcentral. Lineage: Eukaryota; Metazoa; Chordata; Mammalia; Didelphimorphia; Didelphidae.